ACGUAGGGAGCGAGCGUUGUCCGGAUUUACUGGGUGUAAAGGGUGCGUAGGCGGGAUGGCAAGUCAGAUGUGAAAUGCCGGGGCUCAACCCCGGAGCUGCAUUUGAAACUGUCGUUCUUGAGUGAAGUAGAGGCAGGCGGAAUUCCUAGUGUAGCGGUGAAAUGCGUAGAUAUUAGGAGGAACACCAGUGGCGAAGGCGGCCUGCUGGGCUUUAACUGACGCUGAGGCACGAAAGCAUGGGGAGCAAACAG
RNAcentral lists this ribosomal RNA (251 nucleotides) under uncultured bacterium. RNAcentral describes it as "partial 16S ribosomal RNA". It matches the Rfam family "Bacterial small subunit ribosomal RNA", at positions 525 to 775 of the family's 1533-position model. The record is from RNAcentral.